Aureobasidium namibiae CBS 147.97 is the source of this 72-nucleotide transfer RNA. It matches the Rfam family "tRNA". From Rfam's summary of the family: Transfer RNA (tRNA) molecules are approximately 80 nucleotides in length. Their secondary structure includes four short double-helical elements and three loops (D, anti-codon, and T loops). Further hydrogen bonds mediate the characteristic L-shaped molecular structure. tRNAs have two regions of fundamental functional importance: the anti-codon, which is responsible for specific mRNA codon recognition, and the 3' end, to which the tRNAs corresponding amino acid is attached (by aminoacyl-tRNA synthetases). tRNAs cope with the degeneracy of the genetic code in two manners: having more than one tRNA (with a specific anti-codon) for a particular amino acid; and 'wobble' base-pairing, i.e. permitting non-standard base-pairing at the 3rd anti-codon position. The record is from Rfam. Lineage: Eukaryota; Fungi; Ascomycota; Dothideomycetes; Dothideales; Saccotheciaceae.
GCCGGUUUGGCGCAGGGGUAACGCGUCGCACUUGUAAUGCGAAGAUCGCUUGUUCGAUUCAGGCAAUCGGCA